This 823-nucleotide long non-coding RNA is filed under the name Fukomys damarensis (Damara mole-rat). RNAcentral describes it as "lncRNA (ENSFDAG00000031585.1)". The record is from RNAcentral. Lineage: Eukaryota; Metazoa; Chordata; Mammalia; Rodentia; Bathyergidae.
UGGGGAUUGAAGCCUUAAAGGCUUCCAUGAGAGAAAGCAGGUAGGUAGUGAGCUGGUGCUGGUCUCCGGCGUCUCCCGGCUUCCCGACCCACCCUCCUGCACCCUGCGUUGUUUUUCCUUUCUCUGGAUCCUAGGAAGGCGAGAGUGGAGCUGUCUUCUAAGGGUCCCAUCCUUUAGAGUUCUGCCUGUGCCUUUCAGUAAGUCUUUAAGGUACUGGAGUUCACCCACUCACUUUCUAUUUUUGGCGGUCAUAUUUAUAUUUGGAAUGAACAGAAAGAUUUCAUAUCCUGGCCUCUAACUUGAAUCUCUUCCAAGAGAAACGUAGGUGACCUUACCUCACUCCCUUCUCCUCCGUCGGAAAUGAAUUCUCUUUUGAAGUCAUUUCUGCCAACCCGCUUUGGGCACUGUUUGUCCCCCGCUCAGAAGUGGGGCUGUGACAGAUGCAUCCCUUCCUCUUCCCAGUCCUCGGGCCUGGAACUCUUCUAUGGCUGCUGCCAGGAAGCAGAAGAUGCCCCUGAGUGCUUGAAGGCACUGGAAAGCUGAGCCACUUAUCAGAAGGAAGUUGGUCCUGAAUAACUAAGAACAGAAGAGGUCACCAAGUGGGGACAUGAGCACACAUCAUCAAGGUGUGGAUCUCUUUGUUACAGCAAUGAGGCUUUCCUGACUGAUAAAGGCAGUUGAGACUUCAUCAGGUCCAUGAACAAAUAGAAGGUGCUGAAGGCAAAGUAAAUGAACUGAACCUUUGUGGAUAAUGAUGUGUGGGAAACCCCUGGGCGUUAUCUGGAAACCAAAGGGGAUCAGUAUUGCAAGAUGACAUGGGGGA